GCGAAACCGGCCAAAUCAGACUCCGGAUCUGAAGGUCGCGCGUUCGAAUCGCCCCGGGCGCACCA
This 65-nucleotide transfer RNA is filed under the name Terriglobia bacterium. RNAcentral describes it as "tRNA-Ser". Lineage: Bacteria; Pseudomonadati; Acidobacteriota; Terriglobia. The record is from RNAcentral.